UUUGCCCAAUGGGACGGGCCAACGGUUGUGGUCUGGCUAGAGCUCUGGGUUGGGAUGCCAGCCUGGUAUGUGGCUGCCUGCCGAGCAAACGUGAAAAGCGGGGCCAUCAUGUCGGCCCUGUCCGACACAGAGAUCCAGCGUGAGAUUGGCAUCAGCAACCCCCUGCACAGGCUGAAGCUGAGGCUGGCCAUCCAGGAGAUCAUGUCGCUGACCAGCCCGUCUGCCCCGCCCACAUCUAGAACGGUACGUUCAGAGACAACCCCUGCAUUCUUUGGAAACAGGGAAUGCCUCUCUGAAGGUAUCACUGCCCUGUUUACAUUGCUUCUCCAGUUCCUUAACAGCAUAUGAAGUAUAGUUCUAAUUCAAAAUUUUAGCAUCACAUACAUUAGAACUUUUAAUUUUGGGGAAUUGGAUGGUCAAAAGAAACUUUAUUAAAUGCUUUUAUGAAAGAUUGGCUAGAAUGGCUUCAUACUAUAAAAAUAUGAGCUUUUUUAAACAUAGAAAAGCAAUUACAAAUUUAAAUAUGGAAAUAUGAAAAAUAUGAAAUACGAAAAUACCA
Molecule: small RNA, 559 nt
Filed under: Pan troglodytes (chimpanzee)
Lineage: Eukaryota; Metazoa; Chordata; Mammalia; Primates; Hominidae
Description: retained intron
Source: RNAcentral